This 95-nucleotide transfer RNA is filed under the name Clostridiales bacterium. RNAcentral describes it as "tRNA-OTHER". Lineage: Bacteria; Bacillati; Bacillota; Clostridia; Eubacteriales. The record is from RNAcentral. RNAcentral also lists the same sequence under 1 other name.
GGGGGCAUACGGGAGUAGAGGAGUAGCCAGGCGCGCUAGAUUCAGGUUCUAGUGGGGGCAACUUCGUGGAGGUUAAAGUCCUCUUGCCCGCACCA